Non-coding RNA from Heterocephalus glaber (naked mole-rat), 260 nucleotides. Lineage: Eukaryota; Metazoa; Chordata; Mammalia; Rodentia; Bathyergidae. The record is from RefSeq and is a predicted model, not a curated record.
CUCAGCAUAAUUGUGCACGUGCUUUUAAUGAUGACAUGAGGCCUCAACCUGAUCAAGGCCAGUAUCCUUGGAGCUCAUCCUGGCAAGGGAUCCUUCCUGGACAUCCUGUGUAUUCAUCAUCACAAUUCUCUGGAAGAAAUUUCAACUCUAUGAUUCAUGACUCCAAAGAGAACAGUCUUUACAACUAUACACCUCAUAACAGGGACAGCUCUUGGGGAACAACCAAACCUGAAGCAAAUUAUGGGAACAAGUAUUCUUCA